AUUGAACGCUGGCGGCAGGCCUAACACAUGCAAGUCGAGCGGUAGAGAGAAGCUUGCUUCUCUUGAGAGCGGCGGACGGGUGAGUAAUGCCUAGGAAUCUGCCUGGUAGUGGGGGAUAACGUCCGGAAACGGACGCUAAUACCGCAUACGUCCUACGGGAGAAAGCAGGGGACCUUCGGGCCUUGCGCUAUCAGAUGAGCCUAGGUCGGAUUAGCUAGUUGGUGGGGUAAUGGCUCACCAAGGCGACGAUCCGUAACUGGUCUGAGAGGAUGAUCAGUCACACUGGAACUGAGACACGGUCCAGACUCCUACGGGAGGCAGCAGUGGGGAAUAUUGGACAAUGGGCGAAAGCCUGAUCCAGCCAUGCCGCGUGUGUGAAGAAGGUCUUCGGAUUGUAAAGCACUUUAAGUUGGGAGGAAGGGCAGUAAAUUAAUACUUUGCUGUUUUGACGUUACCGACAGAAUAAGCACCGGCUAACUCUGUGCCAGCAGCCGCGGUAAUACAGAGGGUGCAAGCGUUAAUCGGAAUUACUGGGCGUAAAGCGCGCGUAGGUGGUUCGUUAAGUUGGAUGUGAAAUCCCCGGGCUCAACCUGGGAACUGCAUUCAAAACUGACGAGCUAGAGUAUGGUAGAGGGUGGUGGAAUUUCCUGUGUAGCGAUGAAAUGCGUAGAUAUAGGAAGGAACACCAGUGGCGAAGGCGACCACCUGGACUGAUACUGACACUGAGGUGCGAAAGCGUGGGGAGCAAACAGG
This 753-nucleotide ribosomal RNA is filed under the name uncultured Pseudomonas sp. RNAcentral describes it as "bacterial SSU rRNA". It matches the Rfam family "Bacterial small subunit ribosomal RNA", at positions 28 to 776 of the family's 1533-position model. Lineage: Bacteria; Pseudomonadati; Pseudomonadota; Gammaproteobacteria; Pseudomonadales; Pseudomonadaceae. The record is from RNAcentral.